This 254-nucleotide ribosomal RNA is filed under the name uncultured bacterium. RNAcentral's name for it is "partial 16S ribosomal RNA". It matches the Rfam family "Bacterial small subunit ribosomal RNA", at positions 30 to 289 of the family's 1533-position model. The record is from RNAcentral.
UUGAACGCUGGCGGCAUGCCUUACACAUGCAAGUCGAACGGUAGAGGGGCAACCCUUGAGAGUGGCGAACGGGUGAGUAAUAUAUCGGAACGUGCCCAGUCGGUGGGGGAUAACGCAGCGAAAGCUGCGCUAAUACCGCAUACGAUCUAUGGAUGAAAGCGGGGGAUCGCAAAGACCUCGCGCGAUUGGAGCGGCCGAUAUCAGAUUAGGUAGUUGGUGGGGUAGAAGCCCACCAAGCCGACGAUCUGUAGCUG